This is a long non-coding RNA of Humulus lupulus (European hop), 1282 nucleotides long. RefSeq lists it as uncharacterized. The transcript has 4 exons. The record is from RefSeq and is a predicted model, not a curated record. Lineage: Eukaryota; Viridiplantae; Streptophyta; Magnoliopsida; Rosales; Cannabaceae.
UUCAGAGGCUGCAAGUUGCUAGGUUAUUGUGAGAGUGUAAACACUUGGGUUGGGAAUUAUAAGCUUACCAAACACUUGGGAAGUAAGGUUUAUAGCACAUUUCAGUUCAGGUUUAGAUUGGUCAUAAAAGCAUUCAAGGAAAUCUAAGAUCUUGAACAUAAAGUUUUUGGAAAAUAGCUUUAGUGGCGGGAAAUGUUCUUGGAAGCUUGGGGAUGUGUGUUGAGGCGGAAUGGAGUCAAUGGACCGAGAGUUUGAUCGAGGAUGAAGUCUUUUUAAAUUUUAUAUGUAUCACUACAAGAAUAACUAAUAUCACUAACGGCACUAUCACUGACGGCAAAAUGUUGUUAGUAAAGGUCAUAGUAUCACCAACGACAUUUCACUGUCGUCAGUAAUACUUUUUUCUUUUGGUUAAAUAAAACAUCACCAACGAAAAUUACAACAAUGAGGACAAUGUCGUCAUUGAUAAAUUUAUCACUGAAGACAUUGUCCUCAUUGAUGUUUUCUACUGUUUUUGAAAAUGAACCGUUAAAGAGGCGGGCUUUUUCCCUCUAAAAAGUAUUACCAACGACUUUGUCGUUAAUAAUACUCUGCCACGUCGUCAGUGAUGUCCAAUCACCAACGACUUUGUCCUCAUUGAUAGUCGUUGGUGAAAAUCAUUAAAAACAUCUUCUUCAACCCCGAGCCCCCAUUUCCCCUUAACCCAUUUUAUCAGUUUUUUUUCAGAUCUAAGCUCUCCUCUCUUCCCCUCCCGUCGAACGCCGUCCCCUCCCUCUGCCGUCCCCUCCCUCUUUGCCUCACUCUCGCCUCUCUCCUCAACGAAACAGUAGCCGCUCCUCUCCAUCUCUCCAUCGGACCCUCGCCGAUCCUCUCCAACCACUGUGAACCCCUCACAGUCGCUCCUCCACUCGGCGCUCAUCUCCGACCACCGCGAAACCCCCACAGUCGCUCCUCCACUAGCCGCUCGUCUCCGACCACUGCGAACCCCCCACAGUCGCUCCUCCAAAGAGAGCUCUGGAGUUGGCUCAUUAACAGCAGAGGAGUUGCAAAAAAAGUAAAGAAGGCUUCUGCUUGUCAAAUAAGAGACUGCUGGUAAUUAUUUCACAAUCAAAACCACAACUGUAAUUAGUUUUAUGAGCAGUUGGCUCAUUAACAGCAGAGGAGUUGGCUCAUUGUUACAGGAGUUGGCUCAUUAACAGCAGAGGACUAUUGAUUAUGUAUUUAUUUAUGUUUUAUGAACACUUUAGUAUUUUAUAUUUCCAUGUAUGACUUUUUAAAAUUUAAU